GAGAAAAACCAAAACCACAAGGCCACAGUGUGCAAUGAACGCCACCAGACAUCUGCGAGAGGAAAACAGGGACAUUCCGAAUCACUGAAACAAGCCAACCUUGGAAGGGCGGGAGGCCCGGGACGCGGCAAGGCCUCCCAAGAACGCGGGCGAAAGGCGAAGCACAGGCCAUCUGAGUGCACAGACGGACUCAACGCAGCAGAGGAGCCGCAGCAAACACCGUCGGAGCCGCGGAGCGUGGAGGGCAGAUGAGUAA
This 256-nucleotide long non-coding RNA is filed under the name Homo sapiens (human). Its description in RNAcentral is "HSALNT0227133". Lineage: Eukaryota; Metazoa; Chordata; Mammalia; Primates; Hominidae. The record is from RNAcentral.